UGAAAGUUGCCGUCGCUGGCAGUAGGCUACUCUGGAGGACAGGAGCGUUUUCUUGUGCUUAUUUCACGCUGGGCAUCGUGUGACAAAAGCUCCCUGGAAUCCUGCCUUAUUUCACCCGACAUUUGACUAGUAGACUACCCAUGUUCAUCAAGCUGACGCGCCCUCCCUCCUCCACUCUGACCCCUCGGGCCUCUUGCCCAUAGCACAAACAAGGCCAAGAUCACAGCUGGCUGUCAGUAUGACAGCCUGACCACUGUUUUCCCCUGAUUAAAUUUAGUUUGUGUUUUUUUUGAUUGUAUGCUCCCUAGUGGUGACCUGCUCUGUCCUUAGCCCAUUAUUGUGCCUUCCAACGCCAAGUAGCGGCGCUAGGUUGGUUUAUGGUCAGGUUGAGUUAGUUGGUUGUUCAUCCCCAGUUUGUUUGUUUUCUGCUUUUCCCUUCUCCUACCCUGUCGGCACUGGCCUAGUCGGCCAGUGUUUUUGAGCAGCCCUCUUAACCAUCCGCUCGAGGGCUGCCUCAGUUAAUGUUCCCCUCCUGAUUUUUCUCCCUUUUACUGGUUUGAGUUUUAUUAUUUUUAUUUGUCUCCUCUUGUCUCUUUGCCCCUCCUAGCUGUGACCAAUUGUAAUUUUGCUAGAUAGCCAAUGCCUGUAUAGCAAUAGGCUCCUUCUUAGUAUAUGCCCUAGUGGCCAGUGUGGGUUUCAAACCAUUUCAUGAGUGUUCUUUAGUGUGAUUGAUUACUCACUCCUGAUGAUUGCAGUGUAGUGGCACUUGUGGGUGCGUGUGAGCACAGUUUUGUUCCCUCCUAGUCGAGCGACGGCAUAUGGUAUUUUGCUAACUAGUGCUUAAAAGACAGUCACAGCUGUACCCAGGGGUCCUUGUCUUUGUGUUAUCCCCAAGUUUAUUGAGCUAUUAUUGUUUGUUUCUGUUCUGACAUUCUCCCUGACCAAGUCUCCUUUCCCCCUCCUGGAGCAGUUAAAGAGAAAUAAAAAGCAAAAAUUAUUGACCAAAGCUCUCUGUUCCUAUCCAUUUAUUUGGGUCACCUGCAACACACUUAAGGUCCACCUUGUUACAUA
This is a long non-coding RNA of Alosa sapidissima (American shad), 1071 nucleotides long. RefSeq lists it as uncharacterized. Lineage: Eukaryota; Metazoa; Chordata; Actinopteri; Clupeiformes; Clupeidae. The record is from RefSeq and is a predicted model, not a curated record. The transcript is spliced from 4 exons.